UUUGGACAAUGGGGGAAACCCUGAUCCAGCCAUCCCGCGUGUUCGUUGAAGGCCUCCGGGUCGUAAAGUACUUUUGGCAGAGAAGAAAAGGUAUCUCCUAAUACGAGAUACUGCUGACGGUAUCUGCAGAUGAACCACCGGCUAACUACGUGCCAGCCGCCGUGGUAAUACGUCGGGUGCAAGCGUUAAUCGGAAUUACUGGGCGUAAAGCGUGUUUAGGCGGUUCGGAAAGAAAGAUGGGGAAUCCCAGGGCUCAACCUUGGAACUGCAUUUUUAACUGCCGAGCUAGAGUAUGUCAGAGGGGGGUAGAAUUCCACGUGUAGCAGUGAAAUGCGUAGAUAUGUGGAGGAAUACCGAUGGCGAAGGCAGCCCCCUGGGAUAAUACUGACGCUCAGACACGAAAGCGUGGGGAGCAAACA
This 419-nucleotide ribosomal RNA is filed under the name uncultured bacterium. RNAcentral describes it as "partial 16S ribosomal RNA". It matches the Rfam family "Bacterial small subunit ribosomal RNA", at positions 363 to 774 of the family's 1533-position model. The record is from RNAcentral.